AGUGAACGCUGGCGGUAGGCCUAACACAUGCAAGUCGAACGGCAGCACAGGAGAGCUUGCUCUCUGGGUGGCGAGUGGCGGACGGGUGAGGAAUACAUCGGAAUCUACUCUGUCGUGGGGGAUAACGUAGGGAAACUUACGCUAAUACCGCAUACGACCUACGGGUGAAAGCAGGGGAUCUUCGGACCUUGCGCGAUUGAAUGAGCCGAUGUCGGAUUAGCUAGUUGGCGGGGUAAAGGCCCACCAAGGCGACGAUCCGUAGCUGGUCUGAGAGGAGGAUCAGCACAACUGGAACUGAGACACGGUCCAGACUCCUACGGGAGGAAGCAGUGGGGAAUAUUGGACAAUGGGCGCAAGCCUGAUCCAGCCAUACCGCGUGGGUGAAGAUGGCCUUCGGGUUGUAAAGCCCUUUUGUUGGGAAAGAAAUCCAGCUGGCUAAUACCCGGUUGGGAUGACGGUACCCAAAGAAUAAGCACCGGCUAACUUCGUGCCAGCAGCCGCCGUAA
RNAcentral lists this ribosomal RNA (506 nucleotides) under uncultured bacterium. RNAcentral's name for it is "partial 16S ribosomal RNA". It matches the Rfam family "Bacterial small subunit ribosomal RNA", at positions 29 to 523 of the family's 1533-position model. The record is from RNAcentral.